AGGCAGUAAGAACCUAAUUACCACUAGUAAAUGAGAACUUGGACAUAUGACACACUAAGAAACAGCUGCUUAAAUUAUCACCUGUGGUCCCUGGGAAUACAAAGCCUGUUGAAGGCAGAGGGAGGACCCAGUGACUGCAGCAACAUCAUAGUGAGAAUGAGGACUCUAAGGAGGGCGGGGGCCAGCUGCUCAUGACCAAACUGAAGCGUUCAAAGAAAGAAAAUUCCAGCUCAGGGGUUUACAUUCUCAGUUCAAGGUAUGUCCAGUGACAAGCCUCUAAGUCCUAAAUGAUUGCUUAUCUCUUGUAGCUGCUGGCCAGAUUUCGCCAAAACUCCCAAAUGGAGGCCAAUCAUGCACAUGACUGAAUUACAGUGUAAGUUGAUUCAGAACUUCGUUCACCAGGUCUUCUUUAGCAAAUAUAGGAAAUGUUUUGGUUAGGAGUGAGAAUAGGAGACAAGGGAAUGAGGACUUCAGAGCUUCUCCUGCUAACAGAGGCUCCUCCUUUGAUGAGGCCAAACCUACCGACACCUAAUGUAGUUACCUUGGAAGAAAGGACGGUUCUUCUCAUACCAAUUUCUACCUCCCCCACAGCCUCUACACCUAUAGUUAUAAUCAGAUCCCCGCAUACCCCAG
This 633-nucleotide long non-coding RNA is filed under the name Homo sapiens (human). RNAcentral describes it as "non-protein coding lnc-MED10-18:1". The record is from RNAcentral. Lineage: Eukaryota; Metazoa; Chordata; Mammalia; Primates; Hominidae.